RNAcentral lists this ribosomal RNA (920 nucleotides) under uncultured Bacteroidota bacterium. RNAcentral describes it as "bacterial SSU rRNA". It matches the Rfam family "Bacterial small subunit ribosomal RNA", at positions 1 to 917 of the family's 1533-position model. The record is from RNAcentral. Lineage: Bacteria; Pseudomonadati; Bacteroidota.
UGGAUCCAGACUUUGAUUAUGGCUCAGGAUGAACGCUAGCGGCAGGCUUAACACAUGCAAGUCGAGGGGCAGCGCGGGAUAGCAAUAUUCUGGCGGCGACCGGCGGAGGGGUGCGUAACGCGUGAGCGACAUGCCCGUUGCCCGGGGACAACCGGUGGAAACGCCGACUAAUCCCCGAUGGGAUACGAUGCUGCAUGGCAUUGUAUUGGAAGUUACGGCGGCGACGGAUUGGCUCGCGUCCGAUUAGCUUGUUGGCGGGGUGACGGCCCACCAAGGCUACGAUCGGUAGGGGUUCUGUGAGGAAGGCCUCCCACAAUGGGACUGAGACACGGCCCAUACUCCUACGGGAGGCAGCAGUGAGGAAUAUAGGUCAAUGGGCGGAAGCCUGAACCAGCCAUGCCGCGUGCGGGAAGGAGGCCCUAUGGGCUGUGAACCGCUUUUGCCUGGGGGCAAUAAGGGCGUCGCGCACGUCCGAUGAGAGUACCAGGCGAAUAAGCAUCGGCUAACUCCGUGCCAGCAGCCGCGGUAAUACGGGGGAUGCGAGCGUUAUCCGGAUUCAUUGGGUUUAAAGGGUGCGUAGGCUGUGCGUCAAGUCGGGGGUGAAAUUCCGGUGCUCAACACCGGGGCUGCCCUUGAUACUGUCGCGCUGGAGUGCGGAUGCCGCCGGAGGAAUGAGUGGUGUAGCGGUGAAAUGCUUAGAUAUCACUCAGAACACCGAUUGCGAAGGCAUCUGGCGAAUCCGUAACUGACGCCGAGGCACGAAAGCGUGGGGAUAGAACAGGAUUAGAUACCCUGGUAUUCCACGCCGUAAACGAUGAUGGCUAACCGCCGGCGACACACUGUCGGUGGCCAAGCGAAAGCGAUAAGCCAUCCACCUGGGGAGUAUGUCGGCAACGAUGCAACUCAAAUGAAUUGACGGA